GUUAGUGGCGCACGGGUGCGUAACGCGUGGGAAUCUGCCCCUUGCUUCGGAAUAACAGUUAGAAAUGACUGCUAAUACCGGAUGAUGACUUCGGUCCAAAGAUUUAUCGGCAAGGGAUGAGCCCGCGUAGGAUUAGGUAGUUGGUGGGGUAAAGGCCUACCAAGCCGACGAUCCUUAGCUGGUCUGAGAGGAUGAUCAGCCACACUGGGACUGAGACACGGCCCAGACUCCUACGGGAGGCAGCAGUGGGGAAUAUUGCACAAUGGGCGAAAGCCUGAUGCAGCAACGCCGCGUGAGGGACGACGGCCUUCGGGUUGUAAACCUCUUUUAGUAGGGAAGAAGCGAAAGUGACGGUACCUGCAGAAAAAGCACCGGCUAACUACGUGCCAGCAGCCGCGGUAAUACGUAGGGUGCAAGCGUUGUCCGGAAUUAUUGGGCGUAAAGAGCUCGUAGGCGG
RNAcentral lists this ribosomal RNA (457 nucleotides) under uncultured bacterium. RNAcentral's name for it is "bacterial SSU rRNA". It matches the Rfam family "Bacterial small subunit ribosomal RNA", at positions 91 to 578 of the family's 1533-position model. The record is from RNAcentral.